Molecule: transfer RNA, 65 nt
Filed under: Fer nigripennis
Lineage: Eukaryota; Metazoa; Arthropoda; Insecta; Orthoptera; Acrididae
Description: tRNA-Ala
Source: RNAcentral
AGGAUUAUAGUUAAUUAUAACAUUUGGAUUGCAUACAAAAAGUAUUGAUACAUCAAUUAAUCUUA